Molecule: ribozyme, 75 nt
Filed under: unclassified sequences
Description: HDV ribozyme from F. prausnitzii
Rfam family: HDV ribozyme from F. prausnitzii
Source: RNAcentral
GUUGCUCAAAUCUUCACACACCUCUACGCGGUGAGCAGUAGGCAACGAUCAAUUAUGAUCGGCGAAGAUGUGAAA